GUGAGCCGUUUCUCUAUGCCUCCUCCCCGUACGUCUUCUUUUCCUCGUCAAAGUGAGGGCGGUGGCAGGGCACUGCUGUGACGUAGGCACAUCUGGAGCGGUCAUUACACUCGCAGACGUGAGAUUAGAUAAGGCUGGACGAUGAGGUUAGCGCUUCUCCGGUCAGAUAAUUGUCAGAAUGACUACCAGGUUGUAGGUAGGUGUUAAAAUGGACUCCAAGGUCCUAGAGGGUGCUGGUUAAAAAAAGAGGGUCUCAAAGAUUUGGGGGGGGGGGAACGGACGGACGGACGACAACAACAACAAAAAAACACAUUUCCUGGUUGUUUUUUGAUCUAUCCCCUUCACUUUAGCCAUUCUGUAUUCAUCUGUAUUCACUUUAAGAAUAAUACCGCUUUAAUAUUGGUUUGUGGCUACGAGACAAGAAAAUCAAUCACACAAAUCAUGCUAGCUGCACAGAUCUAACUGCACUGGAAUUCAUCCCCAUUAGACAAUUCUUCCCUAGAAUCCACAGGCUGAAAUUCCACAGACCUGAAGCGGACGGAGGUUUAAUCCGCGCCUGAGUGACGACUGGAUAAAAAGAAUCCAAUUAUCUUUUUCACAGAGCAUCCCCCGGUCUUGUCUUUGGCAUCGCUUAUAUGGAGGAAACAUCAACGUCAAACGGACAUGGAGUUCGUCAAAAUCAGCUCGUACGUAUUCCGCUCGGGAGACGCGCCGUAAAGCGGCUCGGGGAUUUGUGACAUAUUUUAAACGUAGGGAGGGUGUUUAAGUUUGGACAAUCAAACAUAAUUCCUCUAGUCUUGGCUGUAAAUUACACUAAACUUGUUAUUUACGUACGAUUUCCACCUAGAUGCAGUUUGGCUUGGAACACGUCACUCUUCCUCUUUCAGUAAUUCAAUUCGAUGAAACUUUUACUACCAUGGAAUAUACCACACACUAGGGUUACUGCAUCUGAUGGAGAGACACAGAGAGCUAGCCGAGCCGUUCCAACCGUCUUUGAAGCACCGCGCCGGUCACGUGGUAAAAUGUCCGACAGAAUCACGGUCAGUGGAAGAACGACACUUGUGCUGACUAGCAUCUGGGUGAGUUCUCAUGGAGGAAAUACUGUAUACCGGGCCAGAAAACUUCAAACAAACGCUAAAGACCUACCUCUUCAUUGAGUACUUGAUACUUAUAUUUAGAAAAUAAUAACCCCUUAUCAUGUGUGUUUUCAUUCGUAUUCACACUUUGCGGUUGUGGUAGAGAGGGUCGUCCACUAAUCGUAGGGUCGGCGGUUCGAUUCCCGGCCCGCGUGACUCCACAUACCGAAGUGUCCUUGGGUAAGACACCGAACCCCGAGUUGCUCCCGAUGGUAAGUUAGCGCCUUGCAGCUCUGCAGCCAUUGGUGUGUGUGUGUGUGUGUGUGUGUGAAUGGGCGAAUGAGAAAAAGAGCUAUAUAAGUGCAGACCAUUUACCAUAUUGAUUCACCUCCUCUAAUAGGGUUCUAGCUUGAUGUUAUUCUUAGUCCCUGGCCUAGUGAACUAGCAUGGGGACAUGUUUUUGUUUUUUUUUUUUAAAUGCAGACUAUAAAGUACUUACAAGUUUCUCCGGAUUGCUAAAUGCUCUAAAUGUCAAAUCGAACUUGCCAAUCGAGAUGUGCGUCUGUUCUUCAGCGGCGAUUAUUCAAUUUUCGUUCGUGUUCCUCAGAGUUUUAUUCCCAGACAGCAUGCUUUUUUUCAAGUCUAACCGUUAAUGGUAGAAUUUUCUUCUUGGCUGUUCAUGUGAAUAUUUUCCACCCGGUGGUUCUUUUCUAAUGAUGUCACUUUCAUGCCCACUCCUACACACACACACACACACACACAAAAACACACACACACAUGCGUUCGUCUAUCUUUGUGAGGAUCUUCUACUGACAUAAUGAUUACUGCAGUAGUCACCCCUAACCUUAAAUCUUUUGGCUUAAAUACAUUUUCCUGAGGACCAGUUAUGUCCUUAAUGCACUUUGUGCUUGUCACCAUGAAAAGUGUAAAGUUUUGUAGUAUAUUGUAAAGUUGUAACGUUUUGCAGUAUGUUGUCAGUUUUGUAGUAUGUUGUAAAGGUUUAAUUGUUGUAGCAUGUUGUAAAGUUUUAUAGUAUGUUAUAAGGUUUUGUAGUACGUUGUAAGGUUUUCUCGUAUGUUGUAAAGUUUCGCAGUAUGUUGUAAAGUUGUAACAUUUUGUAACAUGAUGUAAAAUUUUGUAGUAUGUUGUAAGGCUGUACAGUUUUGCAGUAUUAUGUAACAUACUGUAGUAUGUUGUAAAGAUUUGUAGUAUGGUGUAAAGUUGUGUAGUAUGUUGUAAAGAUUUGUAGUAUGGUGUAAAGUUGUGUAGUAUGUUG
Ictalurus punctatus (channel catfish) is the source of this 2352-nucleotide long non-coding RNA. The record is from Ensembl. Lineage: Eukaryota; Metazoa; Chordata; Actinopteri; Siluriformes; Ictaluridae.